This 253-nucleotide ribosomal RNA is filed under the name uncultured bacterium. RNAcentral describes it as "partial 16S ribosomal RNA". It matches the Rfam family "Bacterial small subunit ribosomal RNA", at positions 524 to 776 of the family's 1533-position model. The record is from RNAcentral.
UACAGAGGGGGCAAGCGUUGCUCGGAAUUACUGGGCGUAAAGGGCGCGUAGGCGGCCUGCUAAGUCGAACGUGAAAUCCCUGGGCUCAACCCAGGAACUGCGUCCGAUACUGGUUGGCUUGAAUCCGGGAGAGGGAUGUGGAAUUCCAGGUGUAGCGGUGAAAUGCGUAGACAUCUGGAGGAACACCGGUGGCGAAGGCGGCAUCCUGGACCGAGAUUGACGCUGAGGCGCGAAAGCCAGGGGAGCAAACGGG